GGUUGAUAUUCCCGUACCGGCGCUGGUGCGCCAAUGCUGAAUCUUCCUGUACUAACCUCCCGCUGAUUCCCUUUCGGGGGUUGAGGUGGUUGGGAUCUUGGGGGGUAGUAGGCAAGCGAUGGGGUGACGCAGGAGGGUAGUCCAUCCCGGGCGGUGGUUGUCCCGGGGUAAGCGUGUAGGACGACGUGUAGGUAAAUCCGCAUGUCAUGUGUCUGAGACCUGAUGCCGAGCC
RNAcentral lists this ribosomal RNA (232 nucleotides) under Frankia sp. CaI1. RNAcentral's name for it is "partial 23S ribosomal RNA". The record is from RNAcentral. Lineage: Bacteria; Bacillati; Actinomycetota; Actinomycetes; Frankiales; Frankiaceae.